AUUGAACGCUGGCGGCAGGCCUAACACAUGCAAGUCGAGCGGAUGAGAGGAGCUUGCUCUUCGAUUCAGCGGCGGACGGGUGAGUAAUGCCUAGGAAUCUGCCCAGUAGUGGGGGACAACGUUUCGAAAGGAACGCUAAUACCGCAUACGUCCUACGGGAGAAAGUGGGGGAUCUUCGGACCUCACGCUAUUGGAUGAGCCUAGGUCGGAUUAGCUAGUUGGUAGGGUAGAGGCCUACCAAGGCGACGAUCCGUAACUGGUCUGAGAGGAUGAUCAGGCACACUGGAACGGAGACACGGUCCAGACUCCUACGGGAGGCAGCAGUGGGGAAUAUUGGACAAUGGGCGCAAGCCUGAUCCAGCCAUGCCGCGUGUGUGAAGAAGGCCCUCGGGUCGUAAAGCACUUUAAGUUGGGAGGAAGGGCUUACAGCGAAUACCUGUGAGUUUUGACGUUACCGACAGAAUAAGCACCGGCUAACUUCGUGCCAGCCGCCGCAGUAA
RNAcentral lists this ribosomal RNA (500 nucleotides) under uncultured bacterium. RNAcentral's name for it is "partial 16S ribosomal RNA". It matches the Rfam family "Bacterial small subunit ribosomal RNA", at positions 30 to 523 of the family's 1533-position model. The record is from RNAcentral.